RNAcentral lists this ribosomal RNA (253 nucleotides) under uncultured bacterium. Its description in RNAcentral is "partial 16S ribosomal RNA". It matches the Rfam family "Bacterial small subunit ribosomal RNA", at positions 524 to 776 of the family's 1533-position model. The record is from RNAcentral.
UACAGAGGGGGCGAGCGUUGUUCGGAAUUACUGGGCGUAAAGGGCGCGUAGGCGGCCCGCUAAGUCGAACGUGAAAUCCCCAGGCUCAACCUGGGAACUGCGUCCGAUACUGGCAGGCUUGAAUCCGGGAGAGGGAUGUGGAAUUCCAGGUGUAGCGGUGAAAUGCGUAGAUAUCUGGAGGAACACCUGUGGCGAAAGCGGCGCACUGGACCACAACUGACGCUGAGGCGCGAAAGCUAGGGGAGCAAACAGG